RNAcentral lists this ribosomal RNA (250 nucleotides) under uncultured bacterium. RNAcentral describes it as "partial 16S ribosomal RNA". It matches the Rfam family "Bacterial small subunit ribosomal RNA", at positions 73 to 339 of the family's 1533-position model. The record is from RNAcentral.
GUUUUGUAGAUAAAGUGAGGGGAGCGGCGAACGGCUGAGUAACACGUUGGUAGCUACCUCGCACUCAGGGAUAACAUCUAGAAAUAGGUGCUAAUACCGGAUGGUCUCGUAAGAGUAAAGCUUUUGCGGUGCGAGAGGUGCCUGCGGCCUAUCAGUUUGUUGGUGAGGUAACGGCUCACCAAGACUAUGACGGGUAGCUGGUCUGAGAGGAUGACCAGUCAGAAUGGGACUGAGACACGGCCCAUACUCC